Molecule: ribosomal RNA, 253 nt
Filed under: uncultured bacterium
Lineage: Bacteria
Description: partial 16S ribosomal RNA
Rfam family: Bacterial small subunit ribosomal RNA
Source: RNAcentral
UACGUAGGGUGCAAGCGUUAAUCGGAAUUACUGGGCGUAAAGGGCGCGUAGGCGGUUCGUACAGUCAGACGUGAAAUUCCUGGGCUCAACCUGGGGGCUGCGUUUGAUACGUGCGGGCUUGAGUUCGGAAGAGGGUCGUGGAAUUCCCAGUGUAGAGGUGAAAUUCGUAGAUAUUGGGAAGAGCACCGGUGGCGAAGGCGGCGACCUGGUCCGAUACUGACGCUGAGGCGCGAAAGCGUGGGGAGCAAACAGG